This 433-nucleotide ribosomal RNA is filed under the name uncultured bacterium. RNAcentral describes it as "partial 16S ribosomal RNA". It matches the Rfam family "Bacterial small subunit ribosomal RNA", at positions 29 to 507 of the family's 1533-position model. The record is from RNAcentral.
AACGAACGCUGGCGGCAGGCCUAACACAUGCAAGUCGAGCGCGCCCUUCGGGGUGAGCGGCGGACGGGUGAGUAACGCGUGGGAACGUGCCCUUUUCUACGGAAUAGCCUCGGGAAACUGAGAGUAAUACCGUAUACGCCCUUUGGGGGAAAGAUUUAUCGGAAAAGGAUCGGCCCGCGUUGGAUUAGGUAGUUGGUGGGGUAAUGGCCUACCAAGCCGAAGAUCCAUAGCUGGUUUGAGAGGAUGAUCAGCCACACUGGGACUGAGACACGGCCCAGACUCCUACGGGAGGCAGCAGUGGGGAAUCUUAGACAAUGGGGGCAACCCUGAUCUAGCCAUGCCGCGUGAGUGAUGAAGGCCUUAGGGUUGUAAAGCUCUUUCAGCUGGGAAGAUAAUGACGGUACCAGCAGAAGAAGCCCCGGCUAACUCCGUG